This 895-nucleotide ribosomal RNA is filed under the name Diaporthe sojae. Its description in RNAcentral is "LSU rRNA". It matches the Rfam family "Eukaryotic large subunit ribosomal RNA", at positions 38 to 966 of the family's 3401-position model. The record is from RNAcentral. Lineage: Eukaryota; Fungi; Ascomycota; Sordariomycetes; Diaporthales; Diaporthaceae.
GCAUAUCAAUAAGGGAGGAAAAGAAACCAACAGGGAUUGCCCUAGUAACGGCGAGUGAAGCGGCAACAGCUCAAAUUUSAAAUCUGGCUUCGGCCCGAGUUGUAAUUUGCAGAGGAUGUUUCUGGCGCGGUGCCUUCCGAGUUCCCUGGAACGGGACGCCACAGAGGGUGAGAGCCCCGUAUGGUCGGACACCAAGCCUGUGUGAAACUCCUUCAACGAGUCGAGUAGUUUGGGAAUGCUGCUCUAAAUGGGAGGUAAAUCUCUUCUAAAGCUAAAUACCGGCCAGAGACCGAUAGCGCACAAGUAGAGUGAUCGAAAGAUGAAAAGCACCUUGAAAAGGGGGUUAAAUAGUACGUGAAAUUGUUGAAAGGGAAGCACUUAUGACCAGACUUGGGCCGGGCGGCUCAUCAGGGGUUCUCCCCUGUGCACUCCGCCCGGCACAGGCCAGCAUCGGUUUUCGCGGGGGGAUAAGACCGACGGGAACGUAGCACCCUCCGGGGUGUGUUAUAGCCCGGCGGACGAUACCCUCGCGGGGACCGAGGUCCGCGCUCCGCAAGGAUGCUGGCGUAAUGGUCAUCAGUGACCCGUCUUGAAACACGGACCAAGGAGUCGUCCAUUAGAGCGAGCGUUUGGGUGUAAAACCCGCACGCGUAAUGAAAGUGAACGCAGGUGAGAGCUUCGGCGCAUCAUCGACCGAUCCUGAUGUUCUCGGAAGGAUUUGAGUAAGAGUUUUAACGGACGGACCCGAAAGACAGUGAACUAUGCUUGUAUAGGGUGAAGCCAGAGGAAACUCUGGUGGAGGCUCGCAGCGGUUCUGACGUGCAAAUCGAUCGUCAAAUAUGAGCAUGGGGGCGAAAGACUAAUCGAACUGUCUAGUAGCUGGUUACCGCCGAAG